Molecule: non-coding RNA, 29 nt
Filed under: Mus musculus (house mouse)
Lineage: Eukaryota; Metazoa; Chordata; Mammalia; Rodentia; Muridae
Source: RNAcentral
UCCACAGUGUGCCUCCCAAUAUGACAGGU